AUACUGGCGGCAGCAGUGGGGAAUUUUGGACAAUGGGCGCAAGCCUGCUCCAGCAAUGCCGCGUGCGUGAAGAAGGCCUUCGGGUUGUAAAGCUCUUUUGUCGGGGAAGAAACGGUGAAGGCUAAUAUCCUUUGCUAAUGACGGUACCUGAAGAAUAAGCACCGGCUAACUACGUGCCAGUAGCCGCGGUAAUACGUAGGGUGCAAGCGUUAAUCGGAAUUACUGGGCGUAAAGCGUGCGCAGGCGGUUUUGUAAGUUUGUCGUGAAAUCCCCGGGCUCAACCUGGGAAUGGCGAUGAAGACUGCAAGGCUAGAAUCUGGCAGAGGGGGGUAGAAUUCCACGUGUAGCAGUGAAAUGCGUAGAGAUGUGGAGGAACACCGAUGGCGAAGGCAGCCCCCUGGGUCAAGAUUGACGCUCAUGCACGAAAGCGUGGGGAGCAAACAGGAUUAGAUACCCUGGUAGC
Molecule: ribosomal RNA, 463 nt
Filed under: uncultured bacterium
Lineage: Bacteria
Description: bacterial SSU rRNA
Rfam family: Bacterial small subunit ribosomal RNA
Source: RNAcentral